RNAcentral lists this long non-coding RNA (2595 nucleotides) under Homo sapiens (human). Its description in RNAcentral is "HSALNT0218500". The record is from RNAcentral. Lineage: Eukaryota; Metazoa; Chordata; Mammalia; Primates; Hominidae.
AAAAACAUCAGAAGAAUACCAAUAGAGGAACAUUCUGCAAUAUAUACCAGACUCCGUAAGACUGUCAAGAUCAUCAAAAAACAAGAAAAGGCUGAGAAACUAUCACAACCAAGAGAAGCCUAAGACAACAUCAUGACUAAAUGUAAUGUAUUCAGGAUAGGAUCCUGGAAUAGAAAAAGGACACUAGACAACAAGGAAGUUCUGGCAGAUGAAUGGAAGCUAAGCUCUCCUGGAUGGAGAGUGUUAGAAGAGACACUGGAAACUCAGUCCCAAGAUGCUCAGUUUAGUGUUCCUAUUGUUACAACCUGUGACUUCACACAGAAUGAGUGAACAAUGAACAUCUCAGCAAUUGAUAAAAUGAUCCUUCACCAGCCAGGACCUUUUAAAAGAAUUGUCUUAUAACUUCAUCUUAAAGAGCAUCUUCUGACAUUUGUUUGCUGAAACAUACAUUACACUUCUGCUAUCUCAUUCCUUUUCCACAUAUGCUUCCUAAGCCUGGCUUUAUAUUAAAAUAUGAAAGUUACUGGGAAAAAUAAUUCCACUUUCAAGCUGUAGGCCUUUUCCUACAGCUCAAAAUUAUCACAUUUAUUUGAAAGACGUUUCUUUAAAACAUCUGGAAGAUACACCAAAGUGAUAAGCUGGAGAGAAGAAAUCCUUUGCUCCAGGAAUACAUUCUUAAAUAUAAUGCUGAAGAACAUAAUACAAACAGGAAAAUGAAAAUCACCCAUAAUCCCAUCACUGUGAAACUGUAUUUCCUGCAUGAUAUAUAUUUAUUUUUCUAAAUCAAACCACAUUUGGCAUAGGACCCAACCCCCUAGGAAAUCCAACUUAAGUCAUUUUUUUAUUUCCUCUCCUUUAUGAUCUUAAGUUCUAUGGUUCCUUUAAGAACCAUAGAACUUACACAAUCCAAAAAACUUUGGAAGAAGGAUCUUCCAAAUUGUCCUUCAGUCAAGUGUAGUCUCCAUUACAAUGAUCAUGGUCAACUCAAACGCAUGUUCCUGUUGUCCCUUCAGUCAUGUAGACCCAUUGCUGUUGCUCAAGGCCAGUUUAAAUCAUCUUUGAAAGCAUACUUUUUAUAUGUGUAUAAUGUUCCAUCCAAUGGUUAUGUCAUAAUUUCUUUAUUCCUCUAAUUUGACAUUUAGAUUCUUUCAAGAAUUUUUGUUAUUACUUGUAAGCUAUAAAACACUACAGAUACACACAAAUCUUUGGCCACAUCUCUAUUUUAUAAGGAUAAGUUUUUAGCAAUGAGAUUCCUGUAUUAAGUACAGAUAGCUUUAAGGAUCUUUAUUCUAACUUAAAAAUUACUUUUCAAAAAUGUUAAUGUAUUAAUAACUUAGUUUUUACAAAUAUUUGUUGCAGAUUUUCUUGUCUGUUUCAUGUUUAUUGAAAUGAAUAGCUUUAAUUUUUAUGCAGUCAAAUUUAUGCAUAUUUUUCUUUGUAGUUUUUUUCCUCUGUUUUAUGGUUAGAAGUCCCUUCUGUAUCUGGAAAUCUAAUAUUAUUUUAAUUUUUUAACACAUUAAUCAAACAAAAAUGCAUUUGCUACAAAGAAUGAGCUUAGAACCUCUUUCCCCCCCCACCACCCCAAAUAGUUAAUCAAUUCCCAUCACCAUUUCCUUUGCCCAGUAACGUAUACUUUUUUAUAUGGUGGAGCCCAAAUAUCCCUAUGUGAAGAUGAGCAUUUGGGUCAAAUGAGUAAGGAACUUCCCUCUGGGAAAAAUUUAAAGGGGGCACAAAAAAAACCUUCAGUAAUCAACAUAAAUAAUAUUACAAUACAAUAUUUGAAAAAUCAAAACUAAUGCAAAAAUUUCAGAUAAGCAAUACAUUAAAAUUUUAAGAAAAUUCAGAAUCAAGUCCUGUAGCCUUCUGGUGUCAUUCUUUAAAAUCAAAUCUGUACAAAGUAACAUGAGUGCUAGCAGUCUCCCUAAUAUUUCCAGGGAUACCUGUAGGACUUACGUUCCUCAGAGUACUUACAUCUCAUGCCAAACCCUUGCUCAACUGUCAAACACUUGUGACCAUCACAUCACCACUCUGAACAGCUUCAUUCUUAGCAGGGACACAGUCCCUUUGUCUUUAUUUCCCAAGGCACUGCUAACGCAAGGCUGUUAACACUUAAAUUUUUACUGAAAGUUUGGAGGUAAUUGAGGGAGAGUACAACACAGACAGGGAAACACCCCAAGAUUCAUUGUGAAACAUCACUGCAUCUAAGAUUCUUCACUGGUCAACCCCCAGAUCAUGGUCACAGUGAUUCCUCCUUAGAUUGGCCAGAUGCUAGGCUGAUUUCUUCAUACUGAUUUGUCUUCCCCAUCACGUCUUUCCUGAGCUCAACAAUUGUCAGCCUUCCUUCCCCGUCCUUUCUUUUUUCAGUUCAGGUUAUCACAGAAACACCAAAAAUCCUUAUUUCUUUACUGUGUAAAGUAAGCUCCUAGAGUAUUGGCCUUUGUGUCAGAUAGCGCUAGUUUUUUCUUCAUCUCUUUCCCCUGGCCCUUAGCACUUCAGAGCUUGCCGGUCUGACUUCCAACUAACAGCACCUCCAUUUACUUACCUGAGGCUUUAUCUGGCCACCAAAUUUUGUUUUAUCUACAGGAGCAGCAGGUU